RNAcentral lists this transfer RNA (73 nucleotides) under Felis catus (domestic cat). It matches the Rfam family "tRNA". From Rfam's summary of the family: Transfer RNA (tRNA) molecules are approximately 80 nucleotides in length. Their secondary structure includes four short double-helical elements and three loops (D, anti-codon, and T loops). Lineage: Eukaryota; Metazoa; Chordata; Mammalia; Carnivora; Felidae. The record is from Rfam by way of RNAcentral.
ACCUGGCUGGCCCGGUCGGUAGAGCAUGCGACUCUGGAUCUCAGGGUCAUGGGUUCGAGCCCCACGCUGGGCA